RNAcentral lists this transfer RNA (76 nucleotides) under Burkholderia sp. Its description in RNAcentral is "tRNA-Val". It matches the Rfam family "tRNA". From Rfam's summary of the family: Transfer RNA (tRNA) molecules are approximately 80 nucleotides in length. RNAcentral also lists the same sequence under 2 other names. The record is from RNAcentral. Lineage: Bacteria; Pseudomonadati; Pseudomonadota; Betaproteobacteria; Burkholderiales; Burkholderiaceae.
GGGUGCUUAGCUCAGUUGGUAGAGCGGCGCCCUUACAAGGCGUAGGUCGGGGGUUCAAAUCCCUCAGCACCCACCA